AUCUAUAACCCCUUUUUUUGUCCUGUCAGGGCACUUGGCUGGAUCACAGAUUGGUUGGGGAAGGAAAAAAGCAGUUGUUUUUAAAAUCCAGUUGCUUCUUCCCGAUUAUGUUUAUUUGCAGUUUUUUAAACUAGACCAGAUCCCAAAGGUCUCAAAUGCACCAGAUCCCAUCAGAUCUUGAAAGCUAAGCAGGGCCAGCUCUGGUUAGUACUUGGAUGGAAAACUGUCCAUGAAUACCAGGUGCCAUAGGCUAUAUCUCUUAGGAAGGAAAUUGUAAAUCCACUUCUGACUAUUUAUCUAAGAAACCCCUUUGAAAUUCAUGGGGCCACCAUAAGUCAACAGGCAACUUGAAGGCACAUAGACACAGGUCAAAAUUCUGAAAAGAGCAUUUUAUAACAUUUAUGAUAUUUUUUGUUAAAGUGAACUUUUAUGGCAAAUCUGGAACUUCAUGCUUGGGUGAAACACCUCAGAAAGCUUUGAUGAGAGUAGUGAACUGUAUUGGUGGGUGGGGGUAGAGGAAGAACUCAUAGGUCUCUUCCUGGGACAUAGACAACACAGGAAAGAAAGUAGUAAAAUUACAUCUGUGUAGCAGGUGCUAUUUGCUCCUCAUAAACCAUGUUUGUUCUUUUGGUGAUCUAGCAUAGAAAAAUUCACUGUGCAGAGUUGACAAUAAGACUGAAAAUUCCAAAAAAUCAACAAUAAGAUCUGAAGCUUGUCUUAUUGCCCGGCAGAUAUUUAUCAAUGGCAGCUAUAUAAAUUAAUAAAUCAAAACAUCUUGUGCCCAAAGUAAAAUGUUGAGAGGCUCAAAAUAUUUUUGCUCAAUGCAAUGAUAACAACCAUUCUGUCUCUGUAUGUGAUAAGAAUGUUGACUUUUUUUAGAGGAGUUCCAUACAUCCCUAAGUGUCGUAAUGUUUUCAGGAAGCACUGCUACUAUAAUAUCUCUUGUUUACUUCUUUUAUGAGUUGUUUGUACUUUAUGGUCUGAUGUUAAACUUUAGUGCCCAUCCUUGCCAAGAACCUGUCAUAGAAGGCAGUUAAUAUGUUGCACACUCAGCCACUUACGAAGCAUUUGUGUAUACUAUAAAUGUAAUGAGGGUUAACUACUGCACAUUGAAAAACGCACAGUUUAAUGCUUCAGGUUAAAGCACUGGCUGGCUAGAAAGAUCCAACAUCAUACCAUGAUCCACACCUAAAGAUGCAUGGACCUUCUUUUCAUCAAGAGCCAUUUAAUCAUAAAGUAAGAUUCCUAAACUUUCUCUGUACCUGAGUACAGAAUCUCUUCAUCAAACUAGAUGUGACAAGGAAGGGCAAUGUGUUUAAAUAUAAAUUUAGCUCACAAGCGAAGGACCAUAGCUCACCGGUGGAGACCUCACAUAGCAUGCAACAGCUCUCAUGUUCAGUCUCAAGCAUCUCCAAGUAAUUUUGGCAAAAAGAAUUUGGACUUUAAAUCCCUUUUCUCCUUCAGCAACUGAAUAUUAUGAACCAUCAUUCAAGAAAAGCUAUUCUGUGCCUGGGGCUUCAUCACUACAAGCCCAAUGCACUAUAGAGUUGACAGUUCUGUUUUGGAGAUCAAAGUAUGUGGCAUUUGUGUAUCUCAGUUAAAAGCUGUUCUCUGUUCUUCAUCUGCAAACAGAGUUGAUGAGCAUUGUUAGUUCAGAAGGCUGUGGAGUUUAGUUGUGAUGCCAUCAAGAGGCAGAUGCACAUUUAGCCCUGAGCAAUCCUCAAGGGAGGGGAAGACCAAGUGGAACAUUGCUUUGUAGCCAUCCAACCUUAGCGAUCCAGUUCAAAUAAGCAUUAAAUGGGUAGAAGUGCAGGCUGUGAAAUUCUAAGACAGAUACAAAAUGCCAAAGAUAAAAAAGAAUUUGAAAUUCGGAUCCUUUGCAAAAAAAUAUAUAAAAAAAAUAGAUGGCACCGAUGCAUUUGGUGUCAAGGAGUUAUUCUCAAAACCAAAAAUGUCCCCCAAAUGCUGCUUUUUUUAAAAAAAAAAUACAUAUUGCUGUGUUGCUACUAUUGUUUAAUUUUAGCACAAUCCCUGAACAUUUCACAAUAAUUUGGAAAUGUGUGUCUGAAUUGUCUAGGCUGGAAUAAAACAUAUUUUUAUGUA
Long non-coding RNA from Anolis carolinensis (green anole), 2103 nucleotides. RefSeq lists it as uncharacterized. The transcript is spliced from 2 exons. NCBI's taxonomy places the organism in Eukaryota, Metazoa, Chordata, Lepidosauria, Squamata, Anolidae. The record is from RefSeq and is a predicted model, not a curated record.